RNAcentral lists this ribosomal RNA (440 nucleotides) under uncultured bacterium. RNAcentral describes it as "partial 16S ribosomal RNA". It matches the Rfam family "Bacterial small subunit ribosomal RNA", at positions 339 to 795 of the family's 1533-position model. The record is from RNAcentral.
CUACGGGAUGCACCAGUGGGGAAUAUUGCACAAUGGGGGAAACCCUGAUGCAGCGACGCCGCGUGAGUGAAGAAGUAUCUCGGUAUGUAAAGCUCUAUCAGCAGGGAAGAUAAUGACAGUACCUGACUAAGAAGCCCCGGCUAACUACGUGCCAGCAGCCGCGGUAAUACGUAGGGGGCAAGCGUUAUCCGGAUUUACGUGGGUGUAAAGGAAGCGCAGGUGGUUCGGCAAGUCAGAUGUGAAAGCCCGGGGCUCAACUCCGGGACUGCAUUUGAAACUGUCGGACUAGAGUGCAGGAGAGGUAAGUGGAAUUCCUAGUGUAGCGGUGAAAUGCGUAGAUAUUAGGAGGAACACCAGUGGCGAAGGCGACUUACUGGACUGUAACUGACACUGAGGCUCGAAAGCGUGGGGAGCAAACAGGAUUAGAUACCCUGGUAGUC